AUGCAACCACUCCUAUAUAUGCUAGGCCACACCAGUUGGUCAUCGCCACUCUGCCACUCUCAGUCACUCAGGCUGCACGCCACUCUGCCACUCUCAGUCCCUCAGACUACACGCCACUCUGCCACUCUCAGUCUCAUAGACUUCACGCUAGACAACAGCUUUAGCAGUAUUAUAUGGAAUGAAAAAAUUCCGGUUUUAUCAAAGUUAGAAAUUUUCAAUGCUGUUGCUGGAAGCAUAAUGUGUUAUUCAGCUCAAGUGGGAGGGGCUAGGAUAGAAACAAAAUUAGAAGUUUUUCACAAAGGUUUUAUCAAAAAGAUUCUAAGACUCCCGUUAUUUACUCCAGAUUAUAUGAUCUAUUUGGAAACAAAUGUAUUUCCUAUUAUAACUUUCUCUCUUAAACUUCAUUUGGACUUCAAAAACAGGUGCUUAAGAUUAUCGGAGGCAAGAUACCCAAGGUUAUUGGCGAACGAGCUCAUCAAAAAGAAAGUGUUUUGGUAUUCUGAGUGGCAAAACUUGGCUAGAUUAUACGGUAUUCAAAUUGAGAACUUCAUCUCCACGGAAUGUAAUGUGAUGGAGAUAAUAACGGAAGUAAAACGGCAACUUAAACUUCAAUACUGGCAAAAAAUGUGUGAGAGCGGGGGUCUAUGCAAGGAGCUUUACAUCGAAGAGGAGACAAAAUAUGUUCUAGAUCCAAAUCUGAAAGCUUCUGAAAUUAGUUGGAUUUUUAAAGUGAGGGGAGAACUUUUGUAUUUGAACAAGCACCUGUUUAGAAAGGGAAAAAAAAGCACCUGCUCCCUUUGUAAUACUAACCAAGAAGAAACUGUACUCCACUUCGUAGCUGAGUGCCCUGUGCUGGUUGAAUUUAGAAUUAGAUGGCUGCAGAAAAGGAAUCUAAGUAAAGAGGAGUUCAUAAACCAGUUAAAGGGGGCUGAUUGGAAAAGCUUAGUGAAAUAUUGUAAGCAUGCGUGGCAGUACAGGUUCUUCUUGGUUUCAAAAUUUAAUUUCUAA
This 1008-nucleotide long non-coding RNA is filed under the name Bemisia tabaci. Its description in RNAcentral is "lncRNA ENSSSA1UGG010401". The record is from RNAcentral. Lineage: Eukaryota; Metazoa; Arthropoda; Insecta; Hemiptera; Aleyrodidae.